GAAUUAAAUUAAACUAAGCUUCUAACUUAGUAUAUAGCAAAUUAAUUGUUAUUAAUUCU
Molecule: transfer RNA, 59 nt
Filed under: Euplectus karstenii
Lineage: Eukaryota; Metazoa; Arthropoda; Insecta; Coleoptera; Staphylinidae
Description: tRNA-Ser
Source: RNAcentral